AUUGGGAAAGCCGAAAACCAUUUAGAGUAGGCA
Molecule: non-coding RNA, 33 nt
Filed under: unclassified sequences
Description: DUF805b RNA
Rfam family: DUF805b RNA
About the family: Bacteroidetes, Chlorobi (1 example), Proteobacteria. Lineage (Flavobacteria)
Source: RNAcentral